UCCAUAUCAUCUUAGUUCAUUCAAAACAUUGAGCAGUUUAUUAUAACAUCCUUUCUAGUGCAGGAUUACCAGCUAGAGAUAAAAGUUCUUGAUACUGAUAUAUGUAGUACAACUCUGAUAAGAGUUGUUCUAAACCUUCAAGGUUUAAAUGAAGGUGGCUUCCUAAUCUUAGUUGCUUGCUCGAAGCUAUAUGUAAUCUCGAUCAUAUUGUCACUAGUUUUAU
RNAcentral lists this long non-coding RNA (223 nucleotides) under Vitis vinifera (wine grape). RNAcentral's name for it is "long non-coding RNA (VVIN_LNC000514)". The record is from RNAcentral. Lineage: Eukaryota; Viridiplantae; Streptophyta; Magnoliopsida; Vitales; Vitaceae.